AUACGGAGGAUCCGAACGUUAUCCGGAUUUAUUGGGUUUAAAGGGUGCGCAGGCGGCCAUUUAAGUCAGCGGUUAAAUCGUGGGGCUCAACCCCAUUCUGCCGUUGAUACUGGGUGGCUUGAUUGCGGUCGAGGUUGGCGGAAUUCGUUGUGUAGCGGUUGAAUGCAUAGAUAUGACGAAGAACACCGAUUGCGUAGGCAGCUGACCAGACCGCAAAUGACGCUCAUGCACGAAAGUGCGGGGAUCGAACAGGAUUAGAUACCCUGGUAGUCCGCACAGUAAACGAUGAAUACUUGUUUUCGGCGAUAUAAUGUCGGAGGCAAAGCGAAAGCGAUAAGUAUUCCACCUGGGGAGUACGCCGGCAACGGUGAAACUUAAAGGAAUUGACGGGG
Molecule: ribosomal RNA, 392 nt
Filed under: uncultured bacterium
Lineage: Bacteria
Description: partial 16S ribosomal RNA
Rfam family: Bacterial small subunit ribosomal RNA
Source: RNAcentral